Molecule: transfer RNA, 357 nt
Filed under: uncultured Microcystis sp.
Lineage: Bacteria; Bacillati; Cyanobacteriota; Cyanophyceae; Chroococcales; Microcystaceae
Description: partial 16S-23S ribosomal RNA intergenic spacer
Rfam family: tRNA (bases 133-206)
Source: RNAcentral
AAGGGAGACCUAAUUCGGGUAGAAGACGAAAAAAUAGUAGUCGAAACCAAGAAUCAAUCCCAAAAGGUCGGAACGAGGUAUGUGGCUUUCAAACUAGGUUCUGGGUUCACAAAAGACCUGAAUCAGGAACAAGGGCUAUUAGCUCAGGUGGUUAGAGCGCACCCCUGAUAAGGGUGAGGUCCCUGGUUCGAAUCCAGGAUGGCCCACCUGCACAGGUGGCAAAAACAAGAGAAACGAGGAAUCAGCACCUUAUCUUACUUACAUAGUAAGAGAGAAUGCUGGCUCUGAGUAAAGAGUCCAGAGGAACCUUGAAAACUGCAUAGAGCUAGGUGAAAAAGCCAAAAAAGAAGACCGCAA